RNAcentral lists this unclassified non-coding RNA (334 nucleotides) under soil metagenome. RNAcentral describes it as "partial contains 5.8S ribosomal RNA, internal transcribed spacer 2, and large subunit ribosomal RNA". The stretch from base 1 to 120 matches the Rfam family "5.8S ribosomal RNA", at positions 35 to 154 of the family's 154-position model. The record is from RNAcentral.
GAUGAAGAACGUAGCGAAAUGCGAUAAGUAAUGUGAAUUGCAGAAUUCAGUGAAUCAUCGAAUCUUUGAACGCACAUUGCGCCCGCCAGUAUUCUGGCGAGCAUGCCUGUUCGCGCGUCAUUUCAACCAUCAAGCCCCAGGCUUGUGUUGGAGCCCUGCGGCUGCCGCAGCCUCCCAAAACCAGUGGCGGGCUCGCUAUCACACCGAGUGCAGUAGUUUACUCUUCGCUCAGGGCGUGUGGCGGGUGCUAGCCGUGAAACCCCCAACUUCUCAAGGUUGACCUCGGAUCAGGUAGGAAUACCCGCUGAACUUAAGCAUAUCAAUAAGCGGAGGA